AUUGAACGCUGGCGGCAGGCCUAACACAUGCAAGUCGAGCGGAUGAAGGGGGUUGGUCCUGGAUUCAGCGGCGGGAGGGUGAGUAAAGGCUAGGGAUCUGCCCGGUAGUUGGGGGUAAAGUCCGGAAACGGGGGCUAAUACCCCCUUCGGUCCUGAGGAGGAAGUGGGGGGUUUUCGGGACUCCCGCUUUUAGAUGGACCUAGGUCGGAUUAGCUAGUUGGUGGGGUAAAGGCCUACCAAGGCGACGAUCCGUAACUGGUCUGAGAGGAUGAUCAGUCACACUGGAACUGAGACACGGUCCAGACUCCUACGGGAGGCAGCAGUGGGGAAUAUUGGACAAUGGGCGAAAGCCUGAUCCAGCCAUGCCGCGUGUGUGAAGAAGGUCUUCGGAUUGUAAAGCACUUUAAGUUGGGAGGAAGGGCAGUAAGUUAAUACCUUGCUGUUUUGACGUUACCAACAGAAUAAGCACCGGCUAACUUCGUG
This 483-nucleotide ribosomal RNA is filed under the name uncultured bacterium. RNAcentral's name for it is "partial 16S ribosomal RNA". It matches the Rfam family "Bacterial small subunit ribosomal RNA", at positions 30 to 507 of the family's 1533-position model. The record is from RNAcentral.